UACGGAGGGAGCUAGCGUUGUUCGGAAUUACUGGGCGUAAAGCGCGCGUAGGCGGCUUUGCAAGUCGGGUGUGAAAUCCCCAAGCUUAACUUGGGAACUGCAUUCGAGACUGCAUUGCUAGAGUAUGGGAGAGGGAAGUGGAAUUUCCGGUGUAGCGGUGAAAUGCGUAGAUAUCGGAAGGAACAUCAGUGGCGAAAGCGACUUCCUGGACCAAUACUGACGCUCAUGUGCGAAAGCGUGGGGAGCAAACAGG
This 253-nucleotide ribosomal RNA is filed under the name uncultured bacterium. Its description in RNAcentral is "partial 16S ribosomal RNA". It matches the Rfam family "Bacterial small subunit ribosomal RNA", at positions 524 to 776 of the family's 1533-position model. The record is from RNAcentral.